This 71-nucleotide transfer RNA is filed under the name Myotis lucifugus (little brown bat). It matches the Rfam family "tRNA". Rfam says of the family: Transfer RNA (tRNA) molecules are approximately 80 nucleotides in length. Their secondary structure includes four short double-helical elements and three loops (D, anti-codon, and T loops). Further hydrogen bonds mediate the characteristic L-shaped molecular structure. tRNAs have two regions of fundamental functional importance: the anti-codon, which is responsible for specific mRNA codon recognition, and the 3' end, to which the tRNAs corresponding amino acid is attached (by aminoacyl-tRNA synthetases). tRNAs cope with the degeneracy of the genetic code in two manners: having more than one tRNA (with a specific anti-codon) for a particular amino acid; and 'wobble' base-pairing, i.e. permitting non-standard base-pairing at the 3rd anti-codon position. The record is from Rfam by way of RNAcentral. Lineage: Eukaryota; Metazoa; Chordata; Mammalia; Chiroptera; Vespertilionidae.
GCUGGCAUGGCUCAGUGGUUGAGCAUCGGCCUAGGAACCAGGAGGCCAUGGUUCGAUUCCAUGUCAGGGCA